UACUCUUCUCCUCUGGAAGCCAUCUACUCGCAAUACCAGAGGGCACACACUCUCCUGCCCUGAUGUAAUCUCCAGGGAUACAGGCAUCCAGCAACAGGACCUCCGUAAUGCCAUGAUGGACCGUGAAGUCUGGCGCAACAUAGUAAAUUCCAUUGUCUCGACCACGGUCGAACAAUGAUGAAUGAUGAUGAUGAGUU
RNAcentral lists this long non-coding RNA (197 nucleotides) under Octopus sinensis (East Asian common octopus). RNAcentral's name for it is "uncharacterized LOC118768452". Lineage: Eukaryota; Metazoa; Mollusca; Cephalopoda; Octopoda; Octopodidae. The record is from RNAcentral.